Molecule: ribosomal RNA, 270 nt
Filed under: uncultured bacterium
Lineage: Bacteria
Description: partial 16S ribosomal RNA
Rfam family: Bacterial small subunit ribosomal RNA
Source: RNAcentral
AUUGAACGCUGGCGGCAUGCCUUACACAUGCAAGUCGAACGGUAACAGGUUAAGCUGACGAGUGGCGAACGGGUGAGUAAUAUAUCGGAACGUGCCCAACUGUGGGGGAUAACUACUCGAAAGAGUGGCUAAUACCGCAUACGACCUGAGGGUGAAAGCGGGGGAUCGCAAGACCUCGCGCAGAUGGAGCGGCCGAUAUCAGAUUAGGUAGUUGGUGGGGUAAAGGCCCACCAAGCCAACGAUCUGUAGCUGGUCUGAGAGGACGACCAG